GCAGCUUGUUGGACGAUCGCCCGUUGUUUCAUCGAUGGGAGGAAAGUCCGGGCAGCAUAGGACAUGACAGUUGCUAACGGCAACCGGGGGUGACCCUAGGGAAAGUGCCACAGAAACAAAACUACCCCGACAUUAGUUGGGGCAAAGGUGAAACGAGUGGGGUAAGAGCCCACAGCGUCGUCUGGUGACAGGCGAGGAAGGUAAACCCUGUUAGCUGCAAGGAGAUCUGCAUAAGGGGCGGUCCGUCCGCAGGUCGAUAUCCGCUUGAUUUCAUGGGAAACUGUGAAACUAGAUAGAUGAUCGUCUCCGCUUAUAGCGGUACAGAACCCGGCUUAUCGACAAGCUGUAUUU
This 351-nucleotide RNase P RNA is filed under the name Candidatus Saccharimonadota bacterium. Its description in RNAcentral is "RNase P RNA component class A". It matches the Rfam family "Bacterial RNase P class A". Rfam says of the family: Ribonuclease P (RNase P) is a ubiquitous endoribonuclease, found in archaea, bacteria and eukarya as well as chloroplasts and mitochondria. Its best characterised activity is the generation of mature 5'-ends of tRNAs by cleaving the 5'-leader elements of precursor-tRNAs. Cellular RNase Ps are ribonucleoproteins. The record is from RNAcentral. Lineage: Bacteria; Candidatus Saccharimonadota.